AACCAUACAUGGCUGGGCCUGGGAAAGGCAGAAAGGCAGAUGGAUGGUAUCAGAAGUGGGACCUGCAGUGGGGCAUCUAGCAACCCCCAGGAGCAUUGAGUGACCAGGCUUGGGACCCACCGGGCGCAGGGUGUCCAUUGUUCUCUCGAAGCAACUGAGAAUUGUGGAUAUUCUUCAUUAUUCCAUCAUCAUCUCAAACCUCUUGGGUAUAGUGUUUGACUACUACUGUGACCAUAAAUUCCAAUAAAACCUAGGAAAAAUGAAACCACUACAUUAACUGAAAGGGAAGGAUUUGACAGCUUCUUUUGGGCAUAUCAGAAUCGCCAGCAUCACUACUCUUGCACUGUGCGGCCAUUAUUAAGUGAAAUAAGGAUUACUUGAACACAAGCACUGCAAUGCCGCUACAGUCAAUGUGAUAACCCAGCUGGUGACUAAGUGACCAAGGACGGGGAGUAUCUACAGCGGGGAGACUCUGGAAAAAGGGAGGAUUCACAUCCAGUGCCACUGGGGCAGGGCAGAAUGAGAGUUCAUCAUGCUACAAAGAAUGGCACAGAAUAUACGACUUGUGAGUGGAU
Molecule: long non-coding RNA, 575 nt
Filed under: Homo sapiens (human)
Lineage: Eukaryota; Metazoa; Chordata; Mammalia; Primates; Hominidae
Description: non-protein coding lnc-NKAIN3-14:24
Source: RNAcentral